GUUAUAUUCUUCUUAAAAUGAUAUUUUCUUCAAUAUCAUUAUACCGAAAUGUUGGUAUGAACUUUUUAUCAAAUUUGGAACUUUUUGUGUCGGGAUUACUAUUCACGUAUACGGUACUAUUCACGUAUACGGUACUAUUCACCGAAAAAUGAAAUUUUCUUCUUUUUGUCUAAGAUGUCUAUUAUGGUUACUAUCUUUGAUUGUAUCCAUGUUUUGA
This 217-nucleotide long non-coding RNA is filed under the name Panax ginseng (ginseng). RNAcentral's name for it is "long non-coding RNA (PGIN_LNC007904)". The record is from RNAcentral. Lineage: Eukaryota; Viridiplantae; Streptophyta; Magnoliopsida; Apiales; Araliaceae.